Molecule: non-coding RNA, 889 nt
Filed under: Mauritia arabica asiatica
Lineage: Eukaryota; Metazoa; Mollusca; Gastropoda; Littorinimorpha; Cypraeidae
Description: 12S ribosomal RNA
Rfam family: Microsporidia small subunit ribosomal RNA (bases 468-882)
Source: RNAcentral
AUAAGGCUUGGCUCUGACCUUUGUGUAUAAUAUAAACUAAAAGAAACACAUGAUUUUUAUAGAUAGAGGCGAGGAAGAGAUAUGAUUAAAGAAUUUUGGUGCUCUACCUUAUUUAACUUUGAUCCUCUUAGGUAUUAUGCUUAACAUGAUGCUUUGAAAAGUCCCGCUAACAUCAGUGUUUAAUAUUAAGAAAGAAAAGAAAUUUUGAAUUAGUUUAGUAUCUAUAAGGCCUGGUAAACUUGGUGCCAGCAUCCGCGGUUAGACCAAGAUGGCCAAAUUAUUCUAUCUAGGUUGAAAAGGCAGUUAAACAAUAAGUUUAAGUUACAGAAUUAUUUAUUUAGAAGUGAAAUUUAAACAUAAAUAAAAGGAUCAAAAUAUACUUAUUGAGUUGAGUCUGCGACAGUUUGUAGGGAAACUGGGAUUAGAUACCCCAUUAUUACUUACUGUAAAUUGAUUUACAUUUACCUGAGUACUAUGAAUAUAAAGAAAUUUAAAACUCAAAGGGCUUGGCGGUGUUUUAGACCACUUAGGGGAACCUGUCUCGUAAUCGAAAGUCCACGUCAUACCUAACCCUUUUUUGUGUUCAGUCUGUAUACCGUCGUCGUCAGGUAACUUUAAAAAAUAUAGAAGUUGGCCAAAAAAUUACAUUAGUUUAGACGUCAGAUCAAGGUGCAACCUACAAAAGGGGGAGGAUGGGUUACAAUUAAAAAUUAUAAUACGGAAAGGAGGUUGAAAUUUCCAACUAUAAGGAGGACUUAAAAGUAAGAAUUUAAUUAUAAAAAUUUUCUGAAUUUGGCUCUGAAACGUGCACACAUCGCCCGUCGCUCUCGUUGAAAAAUGAGAUAAGUCGUAACAUAGUAGGGGUAAUGGAAAUUGUCCCUGGAUGAAA